This 2667-nucleotide long non-coding RNA is filed under the name Sus scrofa (pig). RNAcentral's name for it is "lncRNA (ENSSSCG00050019133.1)". Lineage: Eukaryota; Metazoa; Chordata; Mammalia; Artiodactyla; Suidae. The record is from RNAcentral.
GUGAAAGAUGCUGUAUGCUGUAGGCACUGGAAAGUGUUAAACAGUUUAACAGCCUUCCUAACGAUUUUAAACAUUGUCAAAUGUUCCAGCUCACACAGUGCCAUCGUUUUAGUAGCCUGGAAAAUACUGCAAUUUGUUCAAACAUUAGCUGUUAUUUCUGGAUGCUAAUCAGUGCCAUUUACCUUGGAAGCCCGGAAAAUGUGUGGACUGUGCAAGUGCGCCAUCUGCUGGCCCUAGAGAUUCCAACUGGGCCAAUGGGCAAGGAUGCUUCUUGUUCUGUCCAAUGUCCCUGAUACAUGAGCCCAUUAGAGCAUCCACGAGGCCAAAGCUCUUUCCACCACCACAUAUCCUGGUGUUAAAUUAUCAUCAUGAACACAUUGGCUUUUCAAAAGAAAAUCAUUUAUGUAUGUGCGUGUAUGAUAUGAGAAUAGUUAAAUUAUUCUUUCUGCUUAUAUGAUCAUCUAAGGAGAAAAGAUCUCAGAAAUGAAAUGACCCUAAGAAAUCAGCUCUUACAAAUACCUCAUUUUACACAUGAGAAAAGUGAGGUCUCGGAAGCCACACAACUGGCCCAAGGUACUCAGCCAGUAGGGGUGGGACUUGACACCACCACCUCCCCCACACCCCGCCCAGCUCCAGCCUGGGCACUUAGUCCUGCUACCUUGGGGAAGAUGAAGGAGGGCAGAGAUAUGCACCAAAACAAAGCAAACUUCCCACCAGUUUUCUGGGACUCCCAUAUACAUCUUACUGAUAUUGGCACUUGAAGCAUCAUUUGCGAAGGACCAUCACUUCUCAUCUUACAUCCACUUAUCACUUUUUAUAAAAACUUCCACAUACAGUCAUAGCCAAAAGCAGAAGCCCUUUUAAUGGUUUUACUGCACUUAUCAAAAAAGGAAAAGAAUAACAGGUAGGGACACUUUCUCUUUUAAUUGUUUUCACUUCUUGAAAAGACAAGGAUUUAGCAAUUGUGACAGAUAAUCACAAUAUCUCUAUUUAAAAAAAAAAAAAAAAAAAAAAAAAAAAAAAAAAAAAAAAAAAAAAAAAGUCUUAGACCCAUACUACUUAAUUGCCUGGGUUACCUGCCACCGAGCCAGAGCACUCAUUCAAUUUGGGCACAACCUGAAACGCUAGCGCCAUCCGAUAGAGGGCAGUAGUGCACAGACACGCAUAACCACUCUGCUCUGCUCUCCCCUAUCAGGAAAAAAAGUGGCACGUGAAUAUAUUCUUGUAGCUCUGAAACUGUUCUUCUGGAACCAGUCAUUUUCCAGAUGCCGAAAUUCAUCUUAAAAGCCAAUGAUCUGACAAGGACAAAUAUUAUUCAUUAAUUCUUCUUAUGUCCUCUAACUCAUGACUCCAGCUCCAUUUUCUGCCCCCAAGCCUCCCAAAUCAAAGUUCUUUUACACCAGGACAGAGAUGCGCCUUGGAUCCGUCUGAAAACCAGGCUGACGAUUUUCUCGCCACCUAGCAACACACACACACACACACACACACACACACACACACACACAGCACAAUCCCAAAAGUCCCCAACGGGAAUAGCGUCAAGAAUCUUGAAAAUCAUACCUAUUUUUGUUUGCAACGUGUGAAAUUAUUACAAGUAUGUUCACCAAGAGGACUAUUGAUGGAUGACUCACAAUUUAGCUAAAUUCAAUGAACCACACACUGUGCCUAUCCCAGUAGGUGACUCAUGCAUUUUUUAUUUCAAGUAUCAAGUGUUUGCCAAAAACAGUAUUUAAAAAAAGUAAUGAAAAUUGUUCUGAAAGAGCUCAUGAAUAGGGUAGGACUACCCACCGGCAGCCUCAUUUGUGCUCUGACCACUUACAUGGGAUUUGGUGGGUCUGCUCUAGCCGUGCUCGACAGAGAGCGUGACCCACAGCAACGCUGGCAGGCGGAGAGCAGGGUUCUUACUCACAGAGAAUGGUUUUGUGCCUACUGCCCACGUCUCAGGAGAGACUUUGGAUAUUUGGGGGGGUGUCCCAAUAAGGUGUGUGUUAGGGGUCCACCUAUAUGUAUUUUCAAUCUAUUUUGCUAAAAAAUAUUCAAAAUACAUACAUUCAGUUCCUAUUUGUCUUCUAUUGAGCUUUCCUUUUUUUCUCCUACCUCUUUCAUUUAAAAAACUAAUUAUCAGGAAAAAAUGGAGGGAUGAAAGGUCACCCAGAGGAAAUAAUGAAAAUGACUGCUGGUAAAGAACAGUUAAGGGGCAGAGACUUCAUUCUAUGAAUGUUUUCCUGGCACCUGCUAGUAGGCUAUUCCCAAAGCCCUCAGUUAGACCCCCUUUCUCAGCCUGCCUCUCUGACUAGAGGAAAAGUUUGUAGCCCCCACUGACCUAUUGACUGUCUCUCCCCAAAAAUACACUGAAUCUGCUCAUCACCAAAUAAUAAUUCCUGUAAAUCUCAGAAAGGCAUUAUCGCAUAUUAAUCUCCGUGUUUUCACAGCUAUAUAAAGUUUUGAAGUAUUUCAAGGGAAAAGAUUUUAACCCUUACAAAGUUCCAAGUGUUGCCAGUAUUUAUUCUUAAAGAUUAUCAUAUUUUUAAAUUACGAACAAUGCCCAUUUUUCAGGUCAUGUAUUGGCCUUUUUUUCCCUGCUCAUUAUUUCAGGCAAAUAAUAAUGAGGUAUGCACUGUCCACUUUAAGUCCCUAUGUUCCCCCCUCCCCCAACACAUACACACA